This 257-nucleotide unclassified non-coding RNA is filed under the name uncultured fungus. RNAcentral's name for it is "partial contains 18S rRNA, ITS1, 5.8S rRNA, ITS2 and 28S rRNA". Lineage: Eukaryota; Fungi. The record is from RNAcentral.
AAGGAUCAUUAUUGAAUAAAUUUGAACGGGCUGUUGCUGGCUCUGUUGAGCGAUGUGCACGCUUGUCAUUUUUAUGUUUCCAACUGUGCACACAUUGUAGAUCUGGUGGAAUUUUAUGUUGCUUGCAAUAAUAGAGUGAGGAUUUUGCUGUAUGGCACUCCUUGUCUGCUAGGUCUAUGUUCACAAACUCUGAAAUGGUUAUAGAAUGAUGGGGAAAAAAAAAUUUACAACUUUCAGCAACGGAUCUCUUGGCUCUC